This 504-nucleotide ribosomal RNA is filed under the name uncultured Sphingobacteriales bacterium. RNAcentral describes it as "bacterial SSU rRNA". It matches the Rfam family "Bacterial small subunit ribosomal RNA", at positions 903 to 1382 of the family's 1533-position model. The record is from RNAcentral. Lineage: Bacteria; Pseudomonadati; Bacteroidota; Sphingobacteriia; Sphingobacteriales.
CGCCUUGCCAGCCCGCUCAGAAACUUAAAGGAAUUGACGGGGGCCCGCACAAGCGGUGGAGCAUGUGGUUUAAUUCGAUGAUACGCGAGGAACCUUACCUGGGCUCAAAUGUAUGUUGACGUAUUCUGAAAGGGAUACUUCUUCGGACAAUAUACAAGGUGCUGCAUGGUUGUCGUCAGCUCGUGCCGUGAGGUGUCGGGUUAAGUCCCAUAACGAGCGCAACCCCUAUCAUUAGUUGCCAUCAGGUCAAGCUGGGGACUCUAAUGAAACUGCCUACGCAAGUAGUGAGGAAGGUGGGGAUGACGUCAAAUCAGCACGGCCCUUACGUCCAGGGCUACACACGUGCUACAAUGGCCGGCACAACGGGAAGCGAGUUCGCGAGGACAAGCGGAUCCCUUAAAGCCGGUCGCAGUUCGGAUUGAAGUCUGCAACUCGACUUCAUGAAGCUGGAAUCGCUAGUAAUCGUGGAUCAGCCAAGCCGCGGUGAAUACGUUCCCGGGCCUU